GACGAACGCUGGCGGCGUGCUUAACACAUGCAAGUCGAACGGAAAGGUCCUGCUUUUGUGGGGUGCUCGAGUGGCGAACGGGUGAGUAACACGUGAGUAACCUGCCCUUGACUUUGGGAUAACUUCAGGAAACUGGGGCUAAUACCGGAUAGGAGCUCCUGCUGCAUGGUGGGGGUUGGAAAGUUUCGGCGGUUGGGGAUGGACUCGCGGCUUAUCAGCUUGUUGGUGGGGUAGUGGCUUACCAAGGCUUUGACGGGUAGCCGGCCUGAGAGGGUGACCGGCCACAUUGGGACUGAGAUACGGCCCAGACUGCUACGGGAGGCAGCAGUGGGGAAUAUUGCACAAUGGGCGGAAGCCUGAUGCAGCAACGCCGCGUGCGGGAUGACGGCCUUCGGGUUGUAAACCGCUUUCGCCUGUGACGAAGCGUGAGUGACGGUAAUGGGUAAAGAAGCACCGGCUAACUACGUG
RNAcentral lists this ribosomal RNA (468 nucleotides) under uncultured bacterium. RNAcentral describes it as "partial 16S ribosomal RNA". It matches the Rfam family "Bacterial small subunit ribosomal RNA", at positions 28 to 507 of the family's 1533-position model. The record is from RNAcentral.